GGCUCAUUAAAUCAGUUAUCGUUUAUUUGAUAGUACCUUACUACUUGGAUAACCGUGGUAAUUCUAGAGCUAAUACAUGCUAAAAACCUCGACUUCGGAAGGGGUGUAUUUAUUAGAUAAAAAACCAAUGCCCUUCGGGGCUCCUUGGUGAUUCAUAAUAACUUAACGAAUCGCAUGGCCUUGUGCCGGCGAUGGUUCAUUCAAAUUUCUGCCCUAUCAACUUUCGAUGGUAGGAUAGUGGCCUACCAUGGUUUCAACGGGUAACGGGGAAUUAGGGUUCUAUUCCGGAGAGGGAGCCUGAGAAACGGCUACCACAUCCAAGGAAGGCAGCAGGCGCGCAAAUUACCCAAUCCCGACACGGGGAGGUAGUGACAAUAAAUACUGAUACAGGGCUCUUUUGGGUCUUGUAAUUGGAAUGAGUACAAUUUAAAUCCCUUAACGAGGAACAAUUGGAGGGCAAGUCUGGUGCCAGCAGCCGCGGUAAUUCCAGCUCCAAUAGCGUAUAUUAAAGUUGUUGCAGUUAAAAAGCUCGUAGUUGAACCUUGGGCCUGGCUGGCCGGUCCGCCUCACCGCGUGCACUGGUCCGGCCGGGUCUUUCCUUCUGGGGAGCCGCAUGCCCUUCACUGGGUGUGUCGGGGAACCAGGACUUUUACUUUGAAAAAAUUAGAGUGUUCAAAGCAGGCCUAUGCUCGAAUACAUUAGCAUGGAAUAAUAGAAUAGGACGUGUGGUUCUAUUUUGUUGGUUUCUAGGACCGCCGUAAUGAUUAAUAGGGAUAGUCGGGGGCAUCAGUAUUCAAUUGUCAGAGGUGAAAUUCUUGGAUUUAUUGAAGACUAACUACUGCGAAAGCAUUUGCCAAGGAUGUUUUCAUUAAUCAGUGAACGAAAGUUAGGGGAUCGAAGACGAUCAGAUACCGUCGUAGUCUUAACCAUAAACUAUGCCGACUAGGGAUCGGGCGAUGUUAUCUUU
This 967-nucleotide ribosomal RNA is filed under the name Darkera picea. RNAcentral's name for it is "SSU rRNA". It matches the Rfam family "Eukaryotic small subunit ribosomal RNA", at positions 95 to 1070 of the family's 1831-position model. Lineage: Eukaryota; Fungi; Ascomycota; Leotiomycetes; Phacidiales; Phacidiaceae. The record is from RNAcentral.